AUACUCACUGCUGAGCAUGAGAAUAUAGAAACAAAGGCAUGAAGAACACAGAAGAUGUGAUCAGGACAUACAAGUAGCUCCAGAGCAUUUGCCAUAGGAACUCUGCAGAACCCCUGGCUAACAAUGGCUUGCUCUUAAGACACACUGAAGCAGGCAGCUGAAGUAAUAAACGACAACCAUUAAGAAAAACUCUCCUAUAUAGCUGGUGUUGAAACAGUAAAUAACACAGACAAGCCUGCCACUUUGGGAUACCAAAAAGGAUUCCCUGAGCCUAAGCACUUACCCACUGUGCAGCUCUCAGGUUGGACCUUGGACCUGCUGCUUGCUGCGUUUGAGACUGCUGAUGGACACUGAGCUGUGCCCAGCUCUGCCUGCUGUGUUCAGCCCCUAUGGGAUGGCACCUGGCUGGUGAGGGCACCGACUGUGCUGCAGUCACUCUUAGUGCAGAGGGCUGGCUCUCAUUCCCUGGUGUGCCCAGGCACCCUGUUCUGAUGUCAUUCCAUCUUAAUCCUAUGGGGCCUAUAGUAAUCUGUAACAUCACAAAAAAGUCUGUGGAAAAUGAGUUGCUUGGU
Oxyura jamaicensis (ruddy duck) is the source of this 572-nucleotide long non-coding RNA. RefSeq lists it as uncharacterized. The record is from RefSeq and is a predicted model, not a curated record. NCBI's taxonomy places the organism in Eukaryota, Metazoa, Chordata, Aves, Anseriformes, Anatidae. The transcript is spliced from 3 exons.